RNAcentral lists this transfer RNA (73 nucleotides) under Saprospiraceae bacterium. Its description in RNAcentral is "tRNA-Trp". It matches the Rfam family "tRNA". Rfam says of the family: Transfer RNA (tRNA) molecules are approximately 80 nucleotides in length. Lineage: Bacteria; Pseudomonadati; Bacteroidota; Saprospiria; Saprospirales; Saprospiraceae. The record is from RNAcentral.
ACGGGUAUAGCUCAGCUGGUAGAGUGGCGGAUUCCAAAUCCGUAGGUCGUGGGUUCGAUCCCUACUGCCCGUG